UACGGGAGGCAGCAGUGGGGAAUUUUGGACAAUGGGCGCAAGCCUGAUCCAGCCAUUCCGCGUGCAGGAUGAAGGCCUUCGGGUUGUAAACUGCUUUUGUACGGAACGAAACGGUCCUGGUUAAUACCCGGGGCUAAUGACGGUACCGUAAGAAUAAGCACCGGCUAACUACGUGCCAGCAGCCGCGGUAAUACGUAGGGUGCAAGCGUUAAUCGGAAUUACUGGGCGUAAAGCGUGCGCAGGCGGUGAUGUAAGACAGAUGUGAAAUCCCCGGGCUCAACCUGGGAACUGCAUUUGUGACUGCAUCGCUGGAGUGCGGCAGAGGGGGAUGGAAUUCCGCGUGUAGCAGUGAAAUGCGUAGAUAUGCGGAGGAACACCGAUGGCGAAGGCAAUCCCCUGGGCCUGCACUGACGCUCAUGCACGAAAGCGUGGGGAGCAAACAGGAUUAGAUACCCUGGUAGUCCACGCCCUAAACGAUGUCAACUGGUUGUUGGGUCUUCACUGACUCAGUAACGAAGCUAACGCGUGAAGUUGACCGCCUGGGGAGUACGGCCGCAAGGUUGAAACUC
Molecule: ribosomal RNA, 569 nt
Filed under: uncultured beta proteobacterium
Lineage: Bacteria; Pseudomonadati; Pseudomonadota; Betaproteobacteria
Description: bacterial SSU rRNA
Rfam family: Bacterial small subunit ribosomal RNA
Source: RNAcentral